GUCUUCGUGGCGCAGUUGGUUAGCGCGUCAGUCUCAUAUCGCAUGAUAUGAUCCAAUCAUCAGGUUGGGCCAUCUGAAGGCCGUGAGUUCGAGCCUCACCGAGGACA
This 107-nucleotide transfer RNA is filed under the name Escovopsis weberi. It matches the Rfam family "tRNA". From Rfam's summary of the family: Transfer RNA (tRNA) molecules are approximately 80 nucleotides in length. Their secondary structure includes four short double-helical elements and three loops (D, anti-codon, and T loops). Lineage: Eukaryota; Fungi; Ascomycota; Sordariomycetes; Hypocreales; Hypocreaceae. The record is from Rfam by way of RNAcentral.